GUCUGUGGCCAUACCACCCUGAAUGCGCCUGAUCUCAUCUGAUCUCGGAAGCUAAGCAGGGUUGGGCCUGGUUAGUAUUUGGAUGGGAGAUAAUCUGUCUUCAGACA
This 107-nucleotide ribosomal RNA is filed under the name Octodon degus (degu). Lineage: Eukaryota; Metazoa; Chordata; Mammalia; Rodentia; Octodontidae. The record is from RNAcentral.